RNAcentral lists this transfer RNA (74 nucleotides) under Massilia sp. Bi118. RNAcentral describes it as "tRNA-Pro". Lineage: Bacteria; Pseudomonadati; Pseudomonadota; Betaproteobacteria; Burkholderiales; Oxalobacteraceae. The record is from RNAcentral.
CCGCGCCUGGGGAUGAUCCAUUUCGCGUUUGCUGGGGUUAAGCCGCGAUGCCGGUUCGACACCGGUUGCGCGGC